RNAcentral lists this ribosomal RNA (492 nucleotides) under uncultured bacterium. RNAcentral describes it as "partial 16S ribosomal RNA". It matches the Rfam family "Bacterial small subunit ribosomal RNA", at positions 29 to 507 of the family's 1533-position model. The record is from RNAcentral.
AGUGAACGCUGGCGGUAGGCCUAACACAUGCAAGUCGAACGGCAGCACAGUAAGAGCUUGCUCUUACGGGUGGCGAGUGGCGGACGGGUGAGGAAUACAUCGGAAUCUACUUUUUCGUGGGGGAUAACGGAGGGAAACUUACGCUAAUACCGCAUACGAUCUACGGGUGAAAGCAGGGGAUCUUCGGACCUUGCGCGAUUGAAUGAGCCGAUGUCGGAUUAGCUAGUUGGCGGGGUAAAGGCCCACCAAGGCGACGAUCCGUAGCUGGUCUGAGAGGAUGAUCAGCCACACUGGAACUGAGACACGGUCCAGACUCCUACGGGAGGCAGCAGUGGGGAAUAUUGGACAAAGGGCGCAAGCCUGAUCCAGCCAUACCGCGUGGGUGAAGAAGGCCUUCGGGUUGUAAAGCCCUUUUGUUGGGAAAGAAAAGCAGCAGGUUAAUACCCCGCUGUUCUGACGGUACCCAAAGAAUAAGCACCGGCUAACUUCGUG